Molecule: long non-coding RNA, 264 nt
Filed under: Helianthus annuus (common sunflower)
Lineage: Eukaryota; Viridiplantae; Streptophyta; Magnoliopsida; Asterales; Asteraceae
Description: hypothetical non coding rna
Source: RNAcentral
UGUAACAUGUUUAAAAUACAAUUCAAUGCAAAAGCAAAGGCGAGUAUACAAGUUUAAGCAUAAGUAUAACAUAAGUAUAAGUUUAAAAGUUUAAAACGAAUCCACAUGGCAACUUAGUCUAUACGAGAUCAACCUAGCGUGGCAUGCAAUAUUUCUAGCCAACCUCUGUUUACGCAAGAAAGUUUAAUUAAUUCAACAUGACCCAAGUUUAAGGGGGGCGGUGCGUUACUCCUAUAGCGCUAUACAUGUCGAAGGGAGGCUUGU